RNAcentral lists this ribosomal RNA (517 nucleotides) under uncultured archaeon. RNAcentral describes it as "bacterial SSU rRNA". It matches the Rfam family "Archaeal small subunit ribosomal RNA", at positions 784 to 1304 of the family's 1478-position model. The record is from RNAcentral.
CGAGUAUGGUGCAGUAUCGAAAGAGAAGUCGUUAAACUCGCCCGCCUGGGAAGUCCGGUCGCAAGACUGAAACUUAAAGGAAUUGGCGGGGGAGCACCACAAGGGGUGCGGCGUGCGGUUUAAUCUAACUCAACACAGAGAAUUUCACCAGAGGCGACGGCACUAUGAAGGUCAGUCUGAAGGGCUUACCCAAGGAGCCGAGAGGUAGUGCAUGGCCGUCGUCAGCUCGUGCCGUAAGGUGUCCUGUUAAGUCAGGCAACGAGCGAGACCUAUAUCUACAAUUGCUAACGAACUUGGUGAUCGAGCACGUUGUAGAGACUGCCUUGGAAACAGGGAGGAAGGUGUAGGCAACGGUAGGUCUGUAUGCUCCGAAUCCUCUGGGCUACACGCGCGCAACAAUGGUAGAGACAAUGGGAUGCAACUCCGAAAGGAGAAGCUAAACCUCUAAACUCUAUCCAAGUCCAGAUUGUGGAUUGUAACUCAUCCACAUGACGAUGGAAUCCCUAGUNNNNGGGAU